This 1241-nucleotide ribosomal RNA is filed under the name metagenome. RNAcentral describes it as "bacterial LSU rRNA". It matches the Rfam family "Bacterial large subunit ribosomal RNA", at positions 1564 to 2815 of the family's 2925-position model. The record is from RNAcentral.
UGAAUACGAGACGCUAAGGCGUCGAAGUAGUGUAUAUCAGACUUCCAAGAAAAGCUUGCACUGUCAUAGAUAAAAAAUGCCUGUACCAUAACCGACACAGGUGGGUAGGUAGAGUAUACUAAGGGGCGCGAGAUAACUCUCUCUAAGGAACUCGGCAAAAUAACUCCGUAACUUCGGGAGAAGGAGUGCCUUAUUUAUAAGGUUGCAAUAACAAGAUCCAAGCAACUGUUUAUCAAAAACACAGGUCUCCGCUAAGUCGUAAGACGAUGUAUGGGGGCUGACGCCUGCCCAGUGCCAGAAGGUUAAAGAAGUUGGUUAGCAAUUGCGAAGCUGAUAACUGAAGCCCUGGUGAACGGCGGCCGUAACUAUAACGGUCCUAAGGUAGCGAAAUUCCUUGUCGGGUAAGUUCCGACCCGCACGAAAGGCGUAAUGAUUUGGAUACUGUCUCGGAGAGGGGCUCGGUGAAAUAGACUUGUCUGUGAAGAUGCGGACUACCUGCACCAGGACAGAAAGACCCUAUGAAGCUUUACUGUAACUUGAAAUUGAAAUUGGACUUUAUUCGCGCAGCAUAGGUGGGAGGCGUUGAUUAUAAUCUUGCGGGAUUAUUGGAGCCAUCAGUGAGAUACCACUCUUGUAAUGUUAGAUUUCUAACUUUGAAUCAUUAUCUGGUCAAAGAACAGUUUCAGGCGGGCAGUUUGACUGGGGCGGUCGCCUCCUAAAUGGUAACGGAGGCGUACAAAGGUUUCCUCUGAACGGUUAGAAAUCGUAUCUAGAGUGUAAAGGCAUAAGGAAGCUUGACUGUGAGACCUACAAGUCGAGCAGGGACGAAAGUCGGUCUUAGUGAUCUGACGGUACUGAGUGGAAAGGCCGUCACUCAACGGAUAAAAGUUACUCUAGGAUAACAGGCUGAUCUCCCCCAAGAGUUCACAUCGACGGGGAGGUUUGGCACCUCGAUGUCGGCUCAUCGCAUCCUGGGGCGGUAGUACGUCCCAAGGGUUGGGCUGUUCGCCCAUGAAAGCGGUACGCGAGCUGGGUUCAGAACGUCGUGAGACAGUUCGGUCCAUAUCCGGUGUAGGCGUUAGAAUAUUGAGAGGAGCCUUCUUUAGUACGAGAGGACCGAGAAGGACAUACCUCUGGUGUACCAGUUAUCGUGCCAACGGUAAACGCUGGGUAGCUAUGUAUGGAGUCGAUAACCGCUGAAAGCAUCUAAGUGGGAAGCCCACCUCAAGAUAAGUAUUCUC